This 17971-nucleotide long non-coding RNA is filed under the name Ricinus communis (castor bean). Its description in RNAcentral is "long non-coding RNA (RCOM_LNC001751)". The record is from RNAcentral. Lineage: Eukaryota; Viridiplantae; Streptophyta; Magnoliopsida; Malpighiales; Euphorbiaceae.
UCUCUCUCUCUCUCUCUCACAUACAGAUAGACAAAAUAUUCAUAGAAACACUAUAUGUAGCAUUUUAUUUGUAGAUAUAGCUUUUAUCCAAAACCUUGUGAAACUGAUCAUCUAUGAUGAAUCUUAUACUAGAAUAAAAGCCUUGAUUCUCUGAUAUAGCACAUUAUUGUUGUUUGUCUUGUUUGGAACUUUAGGUAGGAUGCAGAGGAUAGAACUCAAAAUAGGUAAUAUUUUUUCAUGACUGGUGACUUGUAGAUUUGUGUGUUUGGAAAUGAACAAAUUGAAAACAAAGGUAUAAUUCGCACAAGUAUCCAUCCGAGGCUACUGUGUAGUUUCAUUCUUGCUUCUUCAAAUAAUAAAUCUCAUUUGUAUGCUAUUGUCUGCUUAAGGGAGGAAAAUUGUAGAGAUUUGAUUGAUACUAAUGUCUAUUUACCAGAAAAAUGUCAAGGUCAUAUUACUAGUUCUUGAAAGAGGAAGGAUGACAGGGUAUAGGGGAGGGGGUGGGGAUGGAAAUUAAUGAUACCUGAAAGCAGUAACCCUGAGAACCCUAGCAAUUAAUGGUCAUUCCUUCACCAAACACCCCUUUCUCCUUCGUUAUCAUCUUUUGUGGUGGUAUGGCAUCUAUGGUUAGAGUGCAUUGCUGUUAUCCUCAAGAAUCACCAUUUCUCACCAAAUUAUUUCAGGAAGUUUGAAAAUAUAGUUCUGCUAAAAGCCAUGACCUCCAAAAUGACAGCAUUAGCAGCUAUGAUAAAUUGUUCAGUUAUUAUUUAUUUGACUUUGGAGUUUGGGAUUGGUAUUUUUAUUUUGUGAACAUUUCUUUUGCUUUCUUGAACCUUGUUCGGAUGCAACAAUCAAAUAUUUUUUUUUUAAAUUUUUUGUUUCAUUUUUUUACUUUAUGGAAGCUCAAUGAUGUGCUUUGUCCUUUUUCAGAGAAACAACUUACCUGCAGUUCGGCAAUACCUGGAGACAUUUGCAAUUAAUAUUUACUUGAAGUUUCCGACAUUGGUAAGAAAUGUUAUGUUAGUUUAGGGAAAUUUAUGAGCAUUGUACAGAACUUCUGGUGACAAUGUAACAAGCUGAAUUGAUACCCAGGAAAGGCACAUUUAACCACCAUAAUCACUAGACACGUGCAUGUAAAUUGUGGUAAUUGGCCAACAACAAAUGCUUAAACUUUGGCCUGCACAUUAAAGGUAAGGUGGACUAUGAACCAUGUAAAAAGGCCUCCACCAGAGGUCAAAUUUGGAAAUUGAGGUAAGAUGGAUGCCUCAACAGUUUUUUUGUGUGCAUAAUGAUAUGCUUUGCAUAAUUUUAAUAGAAACUGGAACUGGUAAUAGUGUGUGUUUGAAUUUUUAUUAUUAUACUUUAUUUUUUAUAUUCUCUUUUAUUGGCUGUGCCUCUCUUCUAAUCCAAUUUGUUUGCUUUGUUCUCAUCUCAGGUUGGGGAACAACUAGUUCCUAUAUUACGAGAUUAUGACAUGAGGCCACAGGUAAAUAUAACAUCAGUGUCCUCUCUUCUUAUUUCAUAAUUGGUAUUAGGUAGGUAAUGGAACCUACAAUUGGAUACUAGUGAAUUGAUACUCAUACAGGAAUUUUAAGCGACUGUCUAGCCCCAGAACAACGAACUUUAUCAUGGAGCCCAUUGCAAUCAGUGGAUACUUCCUGAAGAAUUUUUCUGUUUUUUUUUUUGUCUAAACUUAGUAACCUUCUUUGCAGGCUUUCUUAACUAUCUUAAAUUCAUAUGAAUAUAAGGAUUUGGAAAGAGGAUAACAAAUCUAUCAGAUUGCAAUUGGUUCUCUGGUCUGUUUACUUGUAAAUACAUGUCUACAAUGUCAACCUCAUGCCUUAGGUUGCUCACUCCUUGGUGUUGUGUAUAUCCAUGCCUGACAUGGGCAGAUUGUCUCUCUCUCAUGUAAAUUUUUUCCAUAUAUUUUGGAGGAUUUUAUCCAUGUAACUAUAUCCAUUUUCACUGUCCAAUAUGUGUCUGAAUAUUGAUAGUUCAGAGGUUUGGGUUGAAUCUCAUAGUUUUUUAAUUAAUAUUCUCCUCCAUUUGGUUGGUGCUAUAUGAUAAGAAUUAAUAUUGGCAUGAGAAUAGAUGAUUGACCUUUCUAUACCUAAUGGUUGAAUUAAUUGGACUGCAUUGGGUGACAUGAAUUUUGUUUUAUUGUUUUCUUAAUUCUUACCAUAGAUGCAUCAUCUUGUUAACGAUUUUUUUAAAUUUAGUUUUUGCACGAGGUGCCAAUGCCUCAGUGCCUUUUAUUUGGUUCUUAAUACAUUUACAAGUCUCAGAAUGUCAAAUGCAGGCACUAUCUUCUUAUGUGUUCAUAGCAGCAAAUAUCAUUCUCCAUACAUCUAAAGCAUUUCAAUCCAGGCAUUUGGAUGAAUUACUUCCUCCUAUACUUCCAUUAUUGACCUCUCAUCACCACAGCUUGCGAGGUUUUACUCAGGUCCUGAUUGCCACAAUGAAUUUUCUCAUUGAUGUAAGCCCUAUGGCUGUCAGUACGUAAUACAUCUUCCUGCUGUCUUUUGCAGUUGCUUGUGUACCAAGUUUUAUCUAAAAUUUUAUCUCCACUGGACUGCGGAGCCUCUGAAACUACGGAUUUGGAGAAAAGGUGCUUUGAAGAUUUGAAAUCAUACCUGGCAAAGAACCCUGAUUGUAGGCGGUAUGGUAUUUAUAAACAUUAUCAGAUAUGAUAUUUGAAACAUUUUACUAUCCUACAAUUUGUAAUUGCUAUAAACCAUUUAUGUAGCUUCCAUUUUCUGUAGAAGCUCAAAUACAAGAAAUAUCUUUGAUGCUUUUGUCAAUUGCAUUUGUAAGUCUUAUUUUAAUAUGAAGAAAAAUCUUCUUCUCUAGGCCGUAUGUUGAACAGGGUGCAUCACCAAGAGGAUUUGAGUUUAUUUAGCACAUAAUUUUCAGCAUGCCUAUAUGUUUGAAAACUUCAUAACAGUGCAUUAGCACUUGUGGCGUUCUUUUUAUAUGGCCUUGUGUGUGUGCGUAUUCCAAAGAUCAAUUUAUAGAGUCGGCGGAAGUCCUGCAUAUGAAUACUUUCCUAGACCAGUUUCAUUUGUCUUCAAUGAGUUUUACAACUUAGUUCUAAUUGAUCAGAGAGUUGAAUUAUGAUGUUUCCCUGUGUUUAAUUCUGAGACUCUAAUUGUUAAACACUUCAUUCGGAUGGCAGCCUUAAAGUUUCUGAGAAGUUAUUUUGUUAUUUUCUGACAAGCUUAACUAUUAUCCUACUUACAGGAUAGCUAGCAACAUUAUGUUGCUCGUGUUAUUCCUGCCUGAUGGCAGAAAAGUAUAAAAUCAUAAGCUCCUUCUACUUUUAUGUGUGUACCAUUGAAAGUAACGUAUGCAAUCUGAAUUAAGGGGUAUCUACAGUUACAUCCUGUUCAGGUUUUGGUGGUUGUACAUUUGAGUUAGUUUGAUUAACCUGUCUUUUAUCUCUUUCAGCUUACGAGCAUCAAUGGAAGGAUAUCUUGAUGCCUAUAAUCCAAUUGUCUCUGGUACUCCAACUGGAAUUUUUAUCAACCGGGUUGAGGUCAGGGAUAUUUUGCAUCUGAUUGAUUUCAUAUUAGGCUUGAAUAAAUAGAAUUACUCUGGAACUUUAUGUGGUGACUUUCAACUAUAAUUUUGAUCUUGGUAUAUUUUGAAUGUCUGGAUGCUAUUUCAUUCUAUUUAUUCCUUUCCUAUCUCUCCGUCAAUAGUUUAAUUCAUCUCUGUAUAUAGUACUAGUAAUUUUUUUAUUAAUUUUUUGUUCUUAUAUCCUCAGAAAUUGGAUUCUGAUUUCCUAGAUGAUAUCUAACUUGUGGAGAUAUUUCCCGUUUUUUAUUUUUAUUUUUUCCAUGUGAAAUGUUCUAGAUGAAUCAGCAUCCAUAUAUAAUGUUUAGGCUUCUGAAUACUACACUUUUGCACAUUGAAGGAACUUGAAUUUGAAUGCGUCCCAACAUCCCUCUUGGAGGAGGUCCUCAGCUUUCUAAAUGUAAGCUCGCUAUCAUUUAUUAAGGAUUUUUCUUCUGUUGCUGGCAUCUUACAUUUCAGAGUUGCAGGAUGUUAGGGAGGACCUCAGAUGUUCAAUGGCAAAGGAUGUUAUAACUAUAAAAAAUGAGAGCUUCAAAAUUGAUGAAAACCCUACCUGCAGGAGAACAUUACCUAAGGAACUCCUUGAAGAAGCAUCAUUGGAUUUUCAGAAAAAAAUUACUCCAAGUAAACAUGAGAAAAAAGAUGCUGAUUCCAGCUCCAUUUUGGGAAGCAAUGCGUACAAACAACUUUUAGGUAUGUACACUUUGAAGUUAAUGUUAAAUUCUCUCAGUCCAAACAUCUCAGGAAAGUGUGGCUCAAAAUUCUCGUCAAACAACAUGGGCUUUUAUUAUUUUGUUAUUGGACUUAGCUUUGCCCCCAAUAUUUUAUGCUCCUAAUGGUCAUUCUCAUCCACCAGUGUGGGAUUCUUUUGCUUUCCUCCCUUUUCUUCUUUUCUUUCAUUUCAUUUGUUAUUCUUUUCAUUUCAAACAGUUAAUUUAGGGCAUGGAAAAAUAUAUGUUUGAGUUCUACAUAUUGCAGUUGUAGAUGAUCUCUUACUAGAUGUGUCUUGUGGGGUGGGCCUUUUUCUUUGAGACUCUGUUUGCAUUUUUCUCCUUCACCAGCAAUUUAUGGCUUUUUUGUCCUUCUAAUUUUAUAAUACAACUUAAAGAUCUAGUUUUUUGGCUCUCUCCCCAGAAAUGAUUGGAAGUAGAAAAGGGGAUUUCUUUCUGCGAUUAUGAGAUGAAUUAUACAAAGUUUUUUGUUGGUCUUGUCUACCUUGUAUUUGGGUAACAAUGUUACUUAACUUUCAGUUCUGCACGCUCUCUUUACCAAGACUCUUAACAACAUACUCACUUGCUAGGGCCGUUAGUUCGAGUGAUCUGUAAUUCAUUCCUUAAGAGCAGAACAAGAAACCUGAAAUAAGAGGCUGCGAAAUACUUUCUACUAGGGAGUUGUAAAUAUUGCUGAUUAAAUGGAAUGGAGGAAUGGUAUCAGCAUAUAGCCAAAAUAGUUCAUAAAUAAGGCAUGAUGACUGAUACUCUUAAAAAGCCUAGACUUUUUGGAAACAUCCCAAAAAGGCAUUUUAAGGACCUAAACUUUUUAGUAGAUUCUUCUACUGAAUAUUGUGAUAGCUAUAUAUAGUUUCCUCUAUGUUGAAUGCAGAAAUGGAAAAGGAAGAUGAACUUCUUGACCAGUCAUUACAAUCUAGAAUUUUGACCAUGGAAAGAAUAAGAGCAAGUCGACAACAUCUUAUCCUUGUGGCAUCAUUCCUUGAUCGAGUACCCAACCUUGCUGGCUUGGCACGGACAUGUGAGGUAUAUUUUAGAUGCUCAUACUAGUACUUACAUAAAGCUUGGCGGCUAAUUGUUGCAUUUCCUUUUAAGCAUUUAGCAUUCUUUAUCUUCUCUUCAUGCCAGUUAUUCUUUCUUGCAGGUAUUUAGGGCAUCAGGUUUAGCCAUUGCAGAUAAGAGCAUACUACAUGACAAGCAAUUCCAGCUCAUCAGGUUCUAAUGAUGACUACCAUUUUUUUGUCUUCAAGUCUUGUCUUUCAUUGUAGAUGCUUCACUCUGUUCUGCAGUCCAUCCAUUUUUCUAGAACAAUACCAAUGGUAUGCAGUAUGCACAGUAAGCCAUAGUUGUGUACAUGCCUACAGACCUGCAGGCUGCAUGCAUCAACUUUUGGUUAGACUUCUUUCCCUAAGACGUUAAGUACCUCGGGAAUUAAAAUUCACCCCAAAUUGGGCUUCUGCAACUGUGAAUAUGGGUGUCUAUUUACGAAAAAGAAAGCAAACUAACUGGCUCUGAUUGGUUGGGGUAAUACAAAUAUGGAGUUGAGGAGUCUGAAUUAUAUUGGGAAUUCAUGGGAUUAUAGUCUGCAACUCAUAUUAAUCAUGGUUAAGAUUUUGAUUACCUCUAUUUAUGAUUGAGGAUGGACCGACUGCCUUUUGUUGCCAAUCUGUCUUACAGCACUGAAUGACUGGAUGACUUUAAUGACAGCAGUUGGGCUCUUUUAACUUUUGCAAAUUUUUUCUCGCAAAUUGAUUUUGGCAGUUUUUAUUCAUUUGCAUGCAUUUUGUUUUGUAGUGUAACAGCAGAGAAGUGGGUUCCCAUUAUAGAAGUUCCAGUAAAUAGUGUGAAGCAGUUCCUUGAGAAAAAGAAACAAGAAGGCUACUCUAUCUUGGGAUUGGAGCAAACAGCCAAUAGUGUGUCCCUCGAUCAGUUUGCCUUUCCUAAAAAGACGGUGAGUCACUUUAAAAGUUAACUUUCAGUUCUUUGCGUGAGGGUCAGGGGAAAUAACUUUCUUAAGCAGCCCAUGCCUAUGUAAGAACUAAACUAAAGAAAUCUUUUUCUUUUGGAAAGAAAACUAAAGAAAUCUUACCAUCUUAAUAAUUAAGAGUAAGAACAUUUCCACCGUAUAUUUGUUGAAAAGGUGGGUUGGGGUUGAGUGGGGGGAAAGGCAUGAUGUUCCCACUACAACGUUUUGGUACAGUGAAAUUUUUCAUAUAGUUUUUUUAUUCUUUCAUGAAAUCUAUAGGAAGUUUGCUUAGUAUAUUGUUUUGCUAGGUCCUGGUGCUUGGGCGUGAAAAGGAGGGUGUUCCUGUUGAUAUUAUCCAUAUACUGGAUGCUUGCAUCGAGAUUCCUCAACUGGGAGUGGUCAGGUCGCUCAAUGUUCAUGUUAGUGGAGCUAUUGCUCUUUGGGAGUAUACUCGACAGCAAAGAUCUCAAUAAUUCUUCAACUUUGAUGUGAUCUUCUUUUAAAGAUAUUUUAAGAAGCACAUCUACUCGACAUCUUCAGUGCUAACUAGAGGGUGACUUUACUGUUGUAAUUUUUUGUUUAAUAUUUGUCCAGUUCCAAGGUUGUAAUGUCAGAUUAGUCCGUCUUCUAAUUGUUGCCCUUGUUUGGAAGGCUGCUGAAGAAAAAUUGCAUUAAAUUCUAGUAACUUGAAAUCUGAGACAUGUUGAGUUCUUUGUAAAAUCAAACUCCAAGUGGUGAGAAAAUUAUAUGGACUUUUAAGAGGAUAAGAACAACCUGAUAUUCCUUGGUGGAUUAAUUGGCCUAUGAUGUAUUUGAUUUGGUUUUAUAAAUGGGAAAAACCAGCAUAACCAUGCUCAUCUGCCGAAACCAACGGUCGUGGGUUUUUGGUAAAACAUAUGUUAAGGACCCUUAGGACCAGAACGAUAUGAGAAUGGCCUCUAUUGUAUUUAUUCUUUUUUCUUUCUAAUUUUAUUUUUUGUGUGCUUUUCUUGCUUUUAUACUCCCUCAGACACACUAUGAUCAGGAUUAUAGAGCAGUAUCAUGUUGUCUGCAUUUUCGAGGUAGACCUCUUUGGGGACUUUCAAUUCCCAUUAUCAAGAGAGUGGAAGGGAGGAGAUGUGUUAAAGCACAUGAAUUAGAGUUGUUAGAAAAUGAGAAAGACAUGCAUUGCUUAUCUGUGCAACAGGAAAGAGUUUGAUAGAGGUAAAGAAGCUGCAUGGUUUCGAUCCAUCACCUAAAGUAACUCCCAUCAAAUCCGAAGCCCAGAGUUACUUUAUACUUUUACCCCACAGGUUAAGUUGAAGGUUUAUCUCCCUCUGAAGUGUUAGCCAUCUCAAUGGCUUCAACUAUCACCUUUGCUUUCUUCAUUUUUGUCGUCAAAUUUUUUGAGCUUCUACAGAUUGAAGCUAAAGUUUUCAUGAUUUUAAUGGAUGAGGAACCUGUUUUCGCUUUCAAAUCCAAGUACACUAAUCCCAGGUUUAACCCGUUUCUUUGUUUUCUUUUUUUCCUUUUAUGCCGGUCAAUAUGCAUCUGAUUGUAUCAGGUUUGUGUAGGAUCGAGGAGGUUAUGGAUUACAAAGAGAGUUUGAGUAAUAGCCAUGACUUAUUUUUGGAAUCUCUUCUCCAGAAAGGCACUUAUACUAAACUCUAUAGCUACACUCAUUUGCUGAAUGGAGUUGCAGUACACGUUGAGUCAGAGGAGGUAAAUCCAUGGUCCAAAGAACUUUACUUGAUCCUGUAAUAUCUAAACAUGUUUGCAGUUUCCACUGCCAAAUUUAGAACCAUUUUUAUAAGCCUGAAUUGGGGUGACAAACUAUAAAUGACAUUUUGCAGGUGUCUAGCAUUCUGAAGAAUGCAAGAGGAGUCAGAGCCAUCCAUGAAGAUACCAAAAUGGAGAAGCUUACAACACAUACGCCUGACUUUCUUGGGAUUCCUGCUGGUAUUUGGCCAAGUUUGGGAGGACCAGAGAGAUCUGGUGAGGGGGUAGUAAUAGGUAUGAUUGACACCGGAAUAAAUCCGUACCAUCCUAGUUUUACAAAUAUGUCAAUGGGGUCUAUAAAUAGUACCAAAUUCAGAGGGCAAUGUGCCACUGGAGAGAAUUUCCCCCUAACAGCAUGCAAUGGAAAGAUAGUAGGGGCGCAAUAUUUUGCUCGUGCAGCCAUUGCUGCUGGUGAUUUUAUCACUAGUCGUGAUUUUGCAUCCCCUUUUGAUGCUGAUGGUCAUGGAAGGUAAGUAACUUGAUAUCUAUAUCUUACGAUGUAAGGUUCUAUUUGUACUUCCGGGCUGGCAGUUUUUUCAUUUUACUAUUAAUGGGGACCUAGAAAUUGAAAAUUGCUAGUGUAGCAUUUAAGCUUCACUUAGUUUAUAAUCUGCAUUGUUCUACUAUCUGUUUCCAAUAAUUUAAGUUCAUUGUCUCAAACCCAUGCCUACAGCCACACAGCAUCUACUGCUGCUGGAAACCACCAAAUACCAGUGAUUGCUAAUGACUUCAACUAUGGAAAUGCAAGUGGCAUGGCUCCUGGAGCAAGGUAAAAGAAGAACUUAAGCUUCUGUUUUGCAAGCCUACUAUUUCUAACUCAAAAUUACAAUUCCAUCAUGAAUUUCAAGUAGAUUUUUUGCUAAUUUAUUUAUUAUUUUUUCUUGUUUCUGAAAUAGGAUUGCUGUGUACAAAGCACUGUAUACUUUUGGAGGUUAUAUGUCAGAUGUUGUGGCUGCUGUUGAAAAGGUUUGGUAACUACACAUGAAUCAAUUUAAUAACGAUCUUGAAAUCAAUCUUGACAGAAUUUAGUAUAAUGACAAUGGAUCUUUAUAUUUCAUUGAAGUAGCUUAAAUGUUUAAAAAAUUGGUUUACAACAUCAAUGAAUCCAGGCAGUGGAAGAUGGUGUUGAUAUACUAAGCCUUUCCAUAGGGCCAUCUAGUGUCCCUCCUGGUCCUUCUGCUUUCCUCAAUGUGCUAGAAAUGGAGCUCUUAUUUGCUACAAAAGCUGGCAUUUUUGUUGUUCAAGCUGCUGGCAAUGGUGGCCCUUCUUCCAGUUCAGUCCUUUCUUUUAGUCCCUGGAUCACCAGUGCUGCUGCCUCCAUCACUGAUCGCAAAUAUAACAAUACAAUCAUUCUAGGCAAUGGAAAAAGCUUCUCGGGCACUGGCCUUGCCCGUAAUCUUUCAACUCUUAUAUGCUGUUCUAAUUCACUAAACAUUGAAUAAUGCAAAAGCCAAUUUUGUUUGUUGCAGUUGAAAGUUUUCUCUUACUAAUCAUUAAAAUAAACAAUAAUUAUCAUCCCAACUCUUAGAACUGUUUUGGUUAUAUAUUGUGCAGCUCCAACAUCGGGAGAAGUUCCCUUCCUAUUAGCUGCAGCAGCUGAUGUCUCUCAUGGGAAUGUAACCAGUGUCGUAGAAGUUGAGAGCUGUCAACAUCCAGAACACUUUAUCAAGUCGUUGGUAUGGGAAAAGUUAAUCAUUUGUACAUAUACCUUCGACUUUGAAUAUGAGGAUGCGAGCAUUGCAACUGUUGAAGACACUAUACAGCAGAUAGGAGCUGCAGGCUUUAUAAUCACAAUGGAUCCUGACAUUAGUUCUGAGCAGAUCAAGGGUACCACAAUGACCAUGCGAGUUCCUGCAAUUAUCCUGAACACCAUGCAAGCUUCCUCGGUAUAAUCAGUAUUAUUCAACUCAUUUUCUAUUAACAAAAACAAAAUUAGCCUCGUGCCAUUAUAUACAAGGACAGGGACUUAGAAAGGGUUUCCAAAAUCAAUCUUGUAUAUAUCUGCUGAGAAAUCAAAUGCUAAUCUUUCUAUCAUUUUAUGAUCCAUCAAUCACUCUAGGUGGGUAGGCUAACUGAUGGUAUUUCUCAAUAAUGCCAAUAGCCAUGAGUCUUUUUAAAAUCACUUUGCAGGCUUUAUGGGAGUAUUACAACUCUAAUACAAUCAGGAGCAGGAGUGGACAAGCAGUGGCUUUUUCUGCAACAGCAAGAAUUCUGGAUGGAAGGCAAGCAUUCUUUACUGGACAGGCACCAAUAGUAGCAUCCUAUUCCUCUAGAGGUCCUGAUGUGAACAAUGCACUUUUGCAAACUGCUGAUGUCCUCAAGCCAAAUAUAAUGGCUCCAGGAUCCUCUAUUUGGGCUGCAUGGAGCCCGGACAGUGAGGGAGAUCCUUACGUCAAAGGUAAAGAUACAAACACCUUUUAGGGCUGCCUGUUUGAAGUGCAAGCAGUGAAAUUAAUGUCCUGGGACUAGAGGAGUCGGAGAAGAAAAUACCUUCCCAGCGACUUGGGAAUUAAAUCCUGAUCAAGAAUAUAAGAAGCAGAUCCACUUGACAACUUAGCCAACACUCUGGUUUAAGCAGUACUGUUAUAAACUAACAUGUCAACCAGAUAUAGCUGCUACAUAACUUCAAAUGCAUCAUAUGUUCUUCAGCCUAAUGAACUGUUGCUGUUCCUAAGAAAUAGCUAAUUUUGUCAAUUUUCAUUCCUCUCAGGGCAGAACUUUGCGCUUGUGUCUGGUACUAGCAUGGCUACUCCUCAUAUAGCUGGUGUUGCAGCUUUGAUCAAGCAAAAACACCCCAAGUGGAGUCCUGCAGCUAUCACCUCAGCAAUGAUGACAACUGCAGAUACAACUGAUUGCUUUGGCUCCCCCAUUUUAGCACAGUCGUCUAACCAGCUAGCACCUGCUACCCCAUUUGAUUUUGGUGCUGGAUCCAUUAACCCAGCUAGAGCCAUUGAUCCAGGACUUAUAUUUGAUGCCCGUUUUGAGCACUAUGUCCAAUUUCUUUGUGCUGUUCCUGGUGUUGAUGAUGAAUCUGUAAGACGAGCUGUAGGAAUAGGUUGCCCUAUCAGAGGAAGGGCAUGGUGUUCAGAUUUGAACACAGCAAGCGUGACAAUUUCCAAUCUAGUUGGGUCACGAAAGGUAAUUCGACGAGUAACAAAUGUGAGUCGAAGAAAUGAAGUCUACAGAGUGACUGUGAGGGAACCACUAGGUGUAAAUGUUACUGUCAAACCACAAGUUUUCUGGGUAAGAGGUAAUGCUUCAAGGCAUUUUAGGAUUUUGUUAAAAGCAAGGAAGGCAAUGAGAACUUACACAUUUGGAGAGAUAAUAUUGUAUGGAAGUAGAAAUCAUGUUGUUAGAGUUCCGAUUGCUGUUUAUGUUAGCACCACUUUAUAGUAUUGAAUUCCUUAUAUUUACAAGCCUCUUGAAAGUUCUGGGACACAGAUCAUCUUCAGUCAUAGUUUAACAGUCCUGUAGUUCUCUCUUGCCCUCUCUUAAUUUGUGAAUUAGAGAUCUCCAGAUGUAUAAUAUCUUUGCUUUAUUUCUUCAUAAGUCUAGACAAAAGAGAACAUAAAUCAUGUUAGCUAGAAGGGAAACAUAGUCAUGAGAGUUUGUUUUUUUUUUUUUUUUAUAAAAAAAAAAAAAGAAAGAAAGAAAAUUGCCCUUCAUUGCCCAUCAUGAUGUGUUCAAAUAAUUAAACAAAAGAAAAAUGAAUUUUAGAUUUUGUAUUCAUCCUUGAAGCAAUGUUUCCCUCAAUGUAUAUAUAUCUUCCUGAGGACUAUCUCAUUGAAGCCCUACUGAAGCUUUAUCUGCGCUUUUGCAGCACUGCUAAAAACUUUGAUAUAAAACCUCUCUUCUUUUGCACCUGAAGCAAUAGGAACAUAACUAACAUUUGAUCUGCCAUAUCAAUAAAGUAAAAAAAUAAGAAACUGCAUCUCACUUAUCUCACCUUUAGGUUAUUCAUCACAGCAUUGCUUGUAGAACCAGAGUGCUUUGUCUUCUUAUCGUUCUUGAUUUGGACACGUGUCAAGGAUCUGCAGAACUUGAAUUUCGAGAUUUUCCACUUGCCUAAGCAAGCAGGAGUGUUGUCAUACUUUGGCUUUCUUUGGACAACGGCAAUCUACCAUAGGAAACAAUCAACAAGUAAAUCUUCAUUAUCAUCAUUUUUCCUUUUUGUGGAAAUAUCUAUUCAUGCUCAAUCUCUCUCUUACCAAAAAAAUGAGACCUGAAUCAACAGAAUAUCUCUUUUCCUAGAAAAGUUAAAGUAAUGCAACCCAGGAAUAAAUGGUGCCAAUCUCAUGAAAAUAAAUACAUUCGAGGACUAAAGAUGAGGCAGUUCAAAAUAUUAAAUGAAGAAAAAUAAAAGAUGUGGGUAAUUCUCUUUCUCACUACCUUGUUUAGAAUAAAUCAUGUGCAAGAACUCAGUUUUUUUGUUACUUUGAAAUUGACAGAAGAAAAAGAAAAGGACACAGAUAAAGAAUUAAAUUACAUCCGAACUGUCCAAACAUGAUAUUGAAUAAAGAGAAUUGAAUUCUAGUAUUUUUAGAAAAUACAGUCAUAAAAUAAGAAGCUAUAGAAAAGGUUUUCCCUCUAAUACUUAACAUUUUUAUGUGGUAAAAUAAAUAUCAUAUAUACCAAGCGAAACAGUUUUUCUUCUUUUAGUUGAAUCGUGUAUUAUAUAUAUGAACAGAGAGGUAUAGUUGAGUACAUUUUCUGUAGGCUGCAUGACAUUAGAAGAGAUCGGCUUUGGAAUUGGAUCCAAGUGAGAUGAUUCCACAGGACGAUGAUCAGCCGACUCCCUGAGACGUUGAGAGUAGAGAAGAAGCUGAGCUCUUCUGCUGAACCCUUUACCAGCAUUAAUACUGUCACCAUAUUUGUUUGCAGUUACCUCUUGUUUGAUAUUCUGAUGAUUAUAAUAGUGGCAAUGGUGGUGGUGGUGGUGAUGACGGUGACUUUUUGAUGUAACCUUUCUCUUUGUUGGCUUCUCCACAUAGACACUAAUUACUACAACCUUUUUCUUGCACAACUUGGCCUGAAACUUGAAAUUGUCAGCUAUAUAUUCAUUUCUCUCUUUUUUUUCUUUUUCUUGUUGCCACAUAAACACAAACACAAGACAUAAACAUAGACAGAGAACGAGAAAGAUGAUUUACCAUUUCCUUCGGCAUGAUCAUCAUCGUGUCUUAGAAGAAAGUUUUCCUGCAGUGGGUUUUAGAUUAAAAGAAACAUAUUUAAGUAUAAGUGUGUGUAUAUAUAAAGGGACACCAUAGCUAAUGCUACCUUAUUUGUUGAUAUCAUUAAUUAUUAUAAUUUUUUAAAAUUUAAGAAGACCGUGGAAUAUUAAUUUUUAUUUCAAAAUAAAAUAAUUAUUGAUUUACAUUCGAUCGUAAAUAUAAUAAUAUAAAUUACUCAAGCUCAGUCUUUUUUUUUAUUCAAAAAAAUUAAACGUGUUAAAUUACUUAAUUUAAUUAAAAAAUCAAAAAAAUUUAAAAGUAUAUUAUAUAAUAAUCUCUUAUAGUUGACGGUUUUAUUAAAACUUAAGAAUAACUUAAAACUCUUUCAUCUUAUAUAUGAUAUUUACAGAAAGAACUGAACUCGAUUAGAAUUUAAUUAUUAUAUCAUUUUCCUAAUUCAUAACUUGUGUCGUAGGAAUGCAUUUAUGUUAUUGAAAUCAUCAAAAUAAAAAUCAAAGCGAGAAUGCUGUGUUGGAGAAGCGGAUGGAGAUGCUAUGCCAAACCGAGAAUGCCAAAGCAAAGUCUUUGGUUGCAUCGAUCAUCUCGAGAAAUUGUUAUGUCUUAAAGCUUCCAAAUUUCCAAACUUAAAAGAUUGAAUUGCUUGAUGCAACCUAUCUUACAAGUAUUCUCGACUUUUUAUAGAUAUUUUCUUGAUCACCCACUUCAAACUUCUUCAUGAAAAACACAUUUGUCAAUUUAGAAAUUUAAAUUAUCAUGUGAUGCAGUUCAAACAUUAUAAAAGAAUUUGGAAUAGAGUUUAAUUUGCCCUUUGAACUUUGCACUCAGGUUGAAAUUGAUCCUUUUUUAUUUCUAUGAUCAACCCAAUUUCUAAUUUUUUUUCAAAUAGAUUCAAUUUCUUCCUUUUUAAAAUGAGUCAAUUAAGCACGUUAUAGUAAAAGCAUGAAAAAAGUACCAAAUUGAUUAUGAACAAUAAGUUUGAAUUUCAAAUUGAACCAAGUGAUCAUUAAGGGGUCAAAUUAAACGUUAUUCUAUUUUUAAGUUAAAAAUUAAAAUAAUAAAUUUAACUUUUUCUAAAAAAUUAUUACAGAUCCAUUAAACCCAUCAAGAUAAACUCGCUACCGCCAUUAAUAUAUUUCCACCACUACCACCAAUACCUUUAGCAAAUACCUUUAAAUUAUCAAAAGUAAAACAUAGAUGAAUAUUUACAAUCUAACACUGCUAUUAUCCCCUUUUUAUCAGCCUUUAUACCAUUACCUCUACCCACUAAUUUAAAAAUAAUAUAUGCACAAUCUCAUCAACACUCACAAACACAUAACCUAUUAUUACAGAGGAAUGAACACAAUUUCAAAAAUCAAAGUUCUUAGCAGCACCAGCAUCAAAAUCACACCACCACUAAUUUCUUUAUUUGCUCAACCACCAAAUUCAAUUAGAUAACUAAUCAAUAAUUAUUAAUUUUUUUUAAAGGAUCAAAUUGAGACAGCACAAAAGAAAUUGAAUGCCCAAAUUGAGCUGGCCUUAAAUGUCAGGUGGUCAAAUUGGAUUAUAUAGCACAUGCAAUUCACUCUCUCAAGAAAUGGUCGAAUUCGACCUAUUCAAAAAGUCAGGAGCUAAAUUGGUUAUAAAAGAGUGAAAACAAAUAUUAAAUUGGGCCUGACCGUAUAAAGAUAAAAUUGAAGCUUAUUCCAAAAGUGUCAUUGACAAAAAUAAAAGUAGAUGUUAAUCCGCAAGUCAUAAGUUCUUUGUCACUGAGCCAUGUAACACUUAUCAGAAACGAUAAGAUGCAAGAUUCAAUUGAUAGUAAGUCUCAAUCGCCUCCACCACGUCUCCCGAAUUGGCUCUUCAUCUUCCUCUUUAGAAACAAAAUCUGAAAGUCUCUUCUUGAGGUCGUUGUUGCUUCCAUGGCUGGCAGCAGCCUCCAAAUUUAUUUAUUUUUUCUUUAUCUGUUUCUUCUUUUGGCUAAUGAAAGAGUCUGAUUUCUUGAAUCCAGGAUCUUUCCACCAUUGAUCUUAAGAUUUUACUCUUUUUUGUGCUAGUUCGGUUGUUUUAUUGAAAACCUUUAGUUUAUUCUCUCUUAAAGAGGUGUUAUUAUCUCCCGUGGUGGAGCUUUCUUCUGACCAUCUUCUCUACGAGAAGGAUUUUUCAAGAGUCAACACCACGCAUAUGAUUCAAAAAAAAAAAAAAAAGGGAGUAGUUGAUGUGCUGAGGGAGCAUUUUGGGUGUUUGAUUUUCUUUAUUUUAUGUUCAUAUCUCAGUCUCAAAUUUACUAUAUAUUGAGUUGUUGGUGGGUAGAUUUACCGGCACAACCUUUUUAUGCCGGAAGUGAAGCUUUGAAAAGUGAUGUCGAUCGCACGCGGGAAUCAUGAAGGCUUUCAUUGUCGCAGCUGUUGGUUGCUGAUAUAACUAUUGUUGCAGUUGAAUAUCUCUGGUCUAGGGUUUCAUUAGCUUAGAGAGGACAUUAUAGUUUAGGGUUGGUCCCUUAAAAGAACUGGAGUGAAGAUUUUAUUUUUCUACAAUACAACAUUGGAUCAAAGGAAGAAAGGAGAGAAGGAUUCGUUUAGUUGUUAUAGGCAUUAGAUAAUUUGGCAAUAUGCUCUCAUCAUCAAAAGUUUGACUACAUCUCUAGCAUUUUAAGUAUUUCCCACCUCGGAAAUUGAUGGUGUAUUUAUUAAUUAGUAGUCAACUGCCUAUUUAUUGCCAGAGUUGUUGAUGCUAUUUUUAUUAUAAAAAUUUUAAAAUUUAAUUUUUAAUAUAAUUAGCAAACUUUCAUAAGUUUAUGAUUUAAUAGAUUUUUAUUUCUUUUUAUAAAUUAAAAUUCUAUUUUAAAAAUUUCAAUAAUAAUAUUUCGUACAAUCCUCUCAUAUGUCAUUAGUAAGCUUAUUUUUUUAUUACAGUAUAUAUAAUUAUUGCACAAACUCACAAUUUUUCUCUUUUUGGAAAAUACUAAAUAGCAUUGGGAAGUUUUAAAAAGACAAAAAGGAAUAAAUUAUAUAAUAUAUAUAUAUAUAUACACACGUCGUGAAAUAUGAUGAAUUUAAUACUUCUUCGUCCUAAAAAGAUGGCCUCUUAUUCUUUUUUGCUCCGUCGCAAAUCACAGUUAACUUUCCUUUUCGAAUUCUUAGUUUAGUAAGUAAUUGUUUAAAAUGACUUUCAUUACUUUACAUAGAUAUUAUUAUAAAUAAUUGAUUUUAUAUUUUUAUACUUUGAAAUUUCAACUUUUAUAUAUAUAUAUAAGAAAAAGUGAUAAAAUUAAUUAAUGACUUUAAUUAAGAAAUUUAUGUUUCGUAAUUCAGGUGUAAAUUAAAAGUGAAUUAUCUUUUUAGAAAAAAGAGGAUAUAAUAAUACUUAUUAUGCCCUAUUUCAGAAUAAAUGCUAAGGUUAAACUAUCUUCUAAGAUUUGACUUUAGAAACACUUUAGUCUCAUGUGUUUCUAAUUAAGCAAGUGUGGUCUUUAGAACAUUUGUAAUGCCUUUUAUUUUAAAAAAUAUUAUUGACACAAUACUAUUUUAAAUUUUUUUAAAACAUUAAAGAUAUAUUUUUUUUUUAAAUCUAAUACACUUUUUAUAUUUUUUUCUUUUUAGUUUAAUGUUUUUCAUAGAUUUUUAUAAUUACAAUUUCUUAUUUAUUUUUUUUACAAAUUUUACUAAUAGAAAAAAAAUUAAUCAUAUCAAUUAAUAAAGCGUACAAAGAUUUAUUAUAUAUUUAGUAAAAUUAAAAUAAAGAGUAAAAUUUGACUCUUUAAAUUUGUGAAUCCAACUUUUAUUAUUCACUAAAAAAAAUAGAGAUUGUAGUCUUAUUUAUAAAAUAAUUAUUUUAUAAUAAUAAUAAAUAAUUUGAUGCAUAUAUUAUAAAAAUAUUCUUUAAAAGUGCAUGAUAAUAAAUGAGUAAAUUUGCCAACACCGACUAUAAAUUCUUUUAUAAUUUGUUGUUGGAUAAUUAAUUUAUAUUUAAUUAUUUAAAUUAAUUUAAUGUAUAAAGAAAUUUUUAAAUAAUCUGAAGCCUUGAGAAUAUCAAAAUAGUAGAGACUGUUCCUGAGGUCAAACCUAAGAGGAAAUGACCCUUCAGAAGGAAGGAGAGGAAAAAACAAAAACAGAAAGAAAGAAGAGAGCUGCGUAGAUGCUAAAGAAGAAGAAAGAAAGAAAGAAAGAAAAAGAUUCUGGGUAGCGGUUAGAUUGAAUAGAUUUUUGGCAGGCAGAAAGAAAUGAAGGGUUUAGAUCAUAUAUCAUAAUAAAAGAGUAUGGACACAAAAUCCCAAGAAAAGAAAAAAACCAUAAAAGGCAAGGGAAUAGUAACUGCAACAUACACGCGUCUCCAAAUUCCACAAACCAUUUCAUGGAAUUCCAAUCCUUUUCUUACAGUCAUUAGAAACACCUUCUCAAGAGCCUCAAAUCCACUUGUCCGUUUUUAAUUUUUUUCACCUCAAAGUUUCCUCCUCAAAUGCAACCGGACCAGAUAAUUAAUUAUAUAUAUAAUUUCCGUAAUUCAAUUCAACCAUUGCGUUUAAUACAACCCAAAAGCAGCCAAGAAAAAUCUUGCCAAACCCUAUUAUUAGCUGAAGUAGAGAAUACACUCCUUCUCCCUCUCUCUCUCUCUGGCUCUUAACUCUUUCCUGUCUUUUUCUCAUAUAUUUCACUACUUAUAACCCCCCUACACUACCUCUCUCUGUUUCAUUGCAUCUUUUCUUUUCUUGAUUUCCGUCCUUCUGCUUUUAGUUUCACUUUCUGUUUCUUGGGUUGUUACUGUUUUUUGUUUUCUUN